GAUGAACGCUGGCGGCGUGCCUAAUACAUGCAAGUAGAACGCUGAAGCUUGGUGCUUGCACCGAGCGGAUGAGUUGCGAACGGGUGAGUAACGCGUAGGUAACCUGCCUCUUAGCGGGGGAUAACUAUUGGAAACGAUAUCUAAUACCGCAUAAAAGUCGAUAUCGCAUGAUAUUGAUUUGAAAGGUGCAAAUGCAUCACUAAGAGAUGGACCUGCGUUGUAUUAGCUAGUUGGUGAGGUAACGGCUCACCAAGGCGACGAUACAUAGCCGACCUGAGAGGGUGAUCGGCCACACUGGGACUGAGACACGGCCCAGACUCCUACGGGAGGCAGCAGUAGGGAAUCUUCGGCAAUGGGGGCAACCCUGACCGAGCAACGCCGCGUGAGUGAAGAAGGUUUUCGGAUCGUAAAGCUCUGUUGUAAGAGAAGAACGAGUGUGAGAGUGGAAAGUUCACACUGUGACGGUAACUUACCAGAAAGAGACGGCUAACUACGUG
This 497-nucleotide ribosomal RNA is filed under the name uncultured bacterium. RNAcentral describes it as "partial 16S ribosomal RNA". It matches the Rfam family "Bacterial small subunit ribosomal RNA", at positions 28 to 507 of the family's 1533-position model. The record is from RNAcentral.